This 539-nucleotide small RNA is filed under the name Pongo abelii (Sumatran orangutan). RNAcentral's name for it is "retained intron". The record is from RNAcentral. Lineage: Eukaryota; Metazoa; Chordata; Mammalia; Primates; Hominidae.
UUAGAGCUACAUGUUUCAAAGAUGAAUAUUGUAUGUGAUAAAUGAAGAUGUUUUACUUCUUAUAUAUCUGAAUUUAAGGACUUGACCACUUAUGUUUCCUAAGAUUUUUCAAUAUUUUUGCUUAAAGUGAAGCCUUAUGUAACUUAGGAAGAAGCUAAUCGUAUACUGAAUGAUAUCUAUGUCUUGCAGAUAUCAAACCUUCCAAUAUUCUUCUGGACAGAAGUGGAAAUAUUAAGCUCUGUGACUUCGGCAUCAGUGGACAGCUUGUGGACUCUAUUGCCAAGACAAGAGAUGCUGGCUGUAGGCCAUACAUGGCACCUGAAAGAAUAGACCCAAGCGCAUCACGACAAGGAUAUGAUGUCCGCUCUGAUGUCUGGAGUUUGGGGAUCACAUUGUAUGAGUUGGCCACGGGCCGAUUUCCUUAUCCAAAGUGGAAUAGUGUAUUUGAUCAACUAACACAAGUCGUGAAAGGAGAUCCUCCGCAGCUGAGUAAUUCUGAGGAAAGGGAAUUCUCCCCGAGUUUCAUCAACUUUGUCAAC